RNAcentral lists this long non-coding RNA (485 nucleotides) under Phascolarctos cinereus (koala). RNAcentral's name for it is "lncRNA (ENSPCIG00000004061.2)". The record is from RNAcentral. Lineage: Eukaryota; Metazoa; Chordata; Mammalia; Diprotodontia; Phascolarctidae.
GAGCCUAGAACCAUGAAGCUCUUCCUUAUAACUUUCCUAAUGGCUUUCCUGGCUAUCCAGGCUAGAGCUGACAGCAGUUCUUCAUCUGAAGAGGAUAGUAGGUCUCAUGAACAUUCUGAACAUUCUGAAGAUCAUGAGAGUGCUGGAUAUGCUUCAAAUCCUGGAAGUGUUGGAGGUCCUGAGAAUCCUGGAUAUGAUCCAAAUCCUGGAAUUCCCUCAUAUUAAGAAAUCUUCAAAAUGCACCCUGAGGAGAACCUCAAUAAACACAGGUUUGCCUGGAAGACUGAUUCAAUCCUUCUAUGAAUCUACAAGUCUACUAAUUUGUGAAUCUCUCAAUCUGCCUACUUAGCAGCCUCUAUUAUUGAGCAUUAGACGGUAGCUCCAAGCUUGUUAUAUUAACAUGAAUCAUUCCCCCAAAGGGCUAAAGCUCUCCUUUAUACUCUCUAUAUAAUAAAUUCAGCUCACAGCAUAUUGGAUGUCUUUUG